GCUAGCUGGAGGGAGAGGAACGGCUUUUGGGCCACUCAGCAGUAAUGAUGGAGGCACACAUUUAACCUGAGUUUUCAUGGACGUGAAGUAAGAUCUGACAAGCCAAGUACGGAGACAAGGCCUUUGUCUGAAGCAGCAAGGAGGUCAUUAGCCAACCGCUUUCUUGAGAACCUUGGACAGGAAAGAAGGAUUGGUAUUGUUAUGGAGGGGACCCGUCUUCCAGCUUUGCAGUCUCAUUAAGAUAAGCCGCUUCCACUCAGCUGACGAACGUCAACAAAUGGUUAAUCAUUUCCUAUGGUCUGAUGGCACCGUGGUCGAUUUAGCUGCUUUUAAUGGUGUAGAGCGUGAUGGCACUGGCAACUGUGCACAGAUUGUUGAAAGCGAUGGAUUUUAGCAGGAUGAGAUGGCCCCAUAUGUCUACAUCAAAGAUGUGCAGUUUUGCAGCGACAACGGCGGCGGCCAUGAUGGCGGCGGCCUCGCCGUCGACUAAUUGGUCUUGUAACCAUCCUGUGUGCGUGUGUGCAGUGUUUUCCAACAUUAUUAAAUUAUUGUUUUGGUCACAGUAAGUUUGUCAAAUUUGGAUAGAAAUCUGAGAAAUAUUAGAUAUCUGCUGAACUGAUUGCACCAUAUAUACUCAGAUUGGAUAUUUUUAUUCCAUCUCCUUAGUGUUUAACUGUGAACAAAACAGGAAGUGGGAGGAAAACAAUACCCCGUGCGAUAAACAGUGUUUAUCUACAGUGAUUAAAUAUCUGCAUGUCUAUAUGUUCGCGUGUGCAUAACCACAGAUGUUGAAACUGGGACCAACAUGGUCUUCCUGAAACUUUAGUAAAUGUUCCAUCUUCCCCAGAUCA
Molecule: long non-coding RNA, 851 nt
Organism: Phycodurus eques (leafy seadragon)
Lineage: Eukaryota; Metazoa; Chordata; Actinopteri; Syngnathiformes; Syngnathidae
Exons: 5
Source: RefSeq, a predicted model, not a curated record